GAUGAACGCUGGCGGCGUGCCUAAUACAUGCAAGUCGAGCGAACGGACGAGAAGCUUGCUUCUCUGAUGUUAGCGGCGGACGGGUGAGUAACACGUGGAUAACCUACCUAUAAGACUGGGAUAACUUCGGGAAACCGGAGCUAAUACCGGAUGAUAUUUUGAACCGCAUGGUUCAAAAGUGAAAGACGGUCUUGCUGUCACUUAUAGAUGGAUCCGCGCUGCAUUAGCUAGUUGGUAAGGUAACGGCUUACCAAGGCAACGAUGCAUAGCCGACCUGAGAGGGUGAUCGGCCACAUUGGAACGGAGCCACGGUCCAGACUCCUACGGGAGGCAGCAGUAGGGAAUCUGCCGCAAUGGGCGAAAGCCUGACGGAGCAACGCCGCGUGAGUGAUGAAGGUCUUCGGAUCGUAAAACUCUGUUAUUAGGGAAGAACAUAUGUGUAAGUAACUGUGCACAUCUUGACGGUACCUAAUCAGAAAGCCACGGCUAACUACGUG
RNAcentral lists this ribosomal RNA (497 nucleotides) under uncultured bacterium. RNAcentral's name for it is "partial 16S ribosomal RNA". It matches the Rfam family "Bacterial small subunit ribosomal RNA", at positions 28 to 507 of the family's 1533-position model. The record is from RNAcentral.